This is a non-coding RNA of Salmo salar (Atlantic salmon), 54 nucleotides long. The record is from Rfam. NCBI's taxonomy places the organism in Eukaryota, Metazoa, Chordata, Actinopteri, Salmoniformes, Salmonidae.
AAAAAAAAAAUUUGUAAGUCGUUCUGGAUAAGAGUGUCUGCUAAAUGACGUAAA